Molecule: long non-coding RNA, 747 nt
Filed under: Homo sapiens (human)
Lineage: Eukaryota; Metazoa; Chordata; Mammalia; Primates; Hominidae
Description: HSALNT0151845
Source: RNAcentral
GCCUGAGAAGGCGCUGGGAGUGACUGGGGACAGCCAGAUGAAGGUCCAGUUCUGGUGUCGGGUCCCUGAGGAGGGAGCUCUGUGGACUGGCUCCGUAGCACAUGCUCCUGGGGCUUGCCUGGCACCGGUGCAGGGAUCAAGAAAGAAGUAAUGCAUGACUCUGAUUUGCGGCUGCAGGAUAAAUCCGAACUAUUUCAGGGAGAUGUCAUGGAGAGCUCAUCUCUCAGCAUCAAAGUUGCCUCUCCUGACUUUUGAAUUUUAAGUGUUCUGUGUGGAAGAAAAAUGGAGACAACAAAUUUCUAUGCAUGGAUUCAAAGAAUCCUCGUAAUAUACAGACUACAUUCUCCCCAGCUUUUUAUCUCUAUAUAUUCUUUUUGUUGAGUUUCAACCACAUAGGGUUGAAAUUCACCUUCCCACAUUACAUUUUUCAUCAAUAGUUGAAGACCUAUGUAUGUAAAUAUCAGGAACUAUCAGAACUCCCUGCAACAGGAAACCUGACCCCCAACUCCCCCGAAAUGCAUCAUGAUAAACAGUCACUUGCCAAAAUAACAAAUCAGCUUCCUGGAACAUGCUUGCUCAAAACCAGGAGAGGAGCUUAGAGACGUCAGCUUGACUUCUGCCUCGUACGCAGGAAGGGUGACCUUCAAAGAUCAAACAUCGUCCCAAAUCUCCCUUCAUCUUGUAGUACUCCUGCUUGUCGUAGCUCCUGUUACCAUCAGAGACAGAAUGUGCUAUAACCUUCUGGAA